GAGUCAUGUGACUCAUUUAUGUAUAAUAUUUGUGAGUCAGGCGAAACUUGACUCACUAACAAAAUUAAAUGAGUCUUAGUUGACUCAUCUGUAAUUAACAAGUGAGUCAAUAACGAAAUGACUCACUUGCAGAAUGCUCCGACUGACUCACAUAGUUGUAAAAAAUGAGUCAAGAUCGGCGAUUGACUCAUUUACAAAAAAAAAAUGAGUCAAGAAUAAAGCCGUGCGCGCAUGCGCUACUUGCACGCUAUGACGUCAACCAUCGCGCGAACAUUCCCGUUUGACGUCGCCAUUGCUGAAUUGGAUCAAGAGAAUACUGGCUACUGGAAGAAGUCACUACGCAACAGAUUCAGGAAUUGCAGGAAAUGUCAUGAACGUGAUAAUCCAUUAGGACAAAUGGAAGCAAAGAAAGGGGACUACACCCAAACCAGACAAAGCUGCAGGCAAACACAUGUAUGGCAUAAAGAAAGUACCUUCCUGCAUCCCCAGAAAGUGAGGAUGAAGAAACGAUCAAUGCUCACAUCAAGAUGCUUCAGAAUGAAUCCAGAAAAACAAGACAGGACAGCUUGAUGAUAGACAAUCUACUAACUUAUGCCCAUAGGCGCAAGGGUAUCAUCAACAGCAACUGGACUGAAUCCUACUUGAAGGAUAUGUACCCUUACCUUUUCCAUGAAGAUGAGAGUUUGAGAGACUGUCAGAGGACCCAACUAAGCAGAAGUUGGAAGCAGGACAUUUGAAUAUGCUGAUCCAUUACUAGAGAUAUGCAAGACUCCCAAGCAAGGUUUGGAGCUCAAAAACCUGAUCUUGGCUGCAGCAGCAGAAAAUGAAGACACCAGGAAAAUGAUCAAAUCAUGUGGAGCACUUCUGUUGAUUCCUACUAUUUUUGGAGAGAAGGCAUUGCUUUGUCAGCAUAGCCAGGAUAAAAAACGGACCAAUCGCCAAAAUCAUCUACAAAAGUAAGCCCGACAGUGCAGGUCUGACUCUGAGCAGUGAUCAUGAAAAAUUCACGGAAAUUCUGCAAUCAUCCUAUAUUACAGCAGAGAAUGAAGUCAUCUGCGAGAAAACCACCUACCUCAUGUCAGCAGUCUCUCUGCUUAUGUCGGCCCAUUAUGUAUUCAACUGCUCAUACACCCCCAAGAUGGGUAACACCCUCACAUUCAUUCAGAAGAUUCUGAUGAACAUAGAUUCCACAUCUCAACCUUCAUCCAAGGUCGUAAGAAGCCUGUAUGACUUAAAUGCUGUCCGAAAUGCUGAUGCCAGUAGUUCUUCAGUUUAAUAGAAAUUAAUUACUUGGGUGAUGCUACUGCAACUCAGCUGAUCACACUUUCUCUACGUGCAAUCACCUUAGGUGUUGUAUCUGUCUUUUAUGUGCAAAAUAGAUUGAAAUAGAUACGACAGGUUGACCGUGAAUUUAGACAUCAAGUAUGUGCAUUAUUUCGCUUUGCUUCAGUACAAUUUCAGUGGCCCUUGAAUUGGAAAUCUUUUCAUAUCCCAAGAAUUACGUAUAAAUGCUUAAUGAAAUUUUUGUCACAGAUAAAAUAGGAUUUUGCACACACAAAAAAGAAAAGAUAUUUGGACCCAAAAUUUUUACAGAUCAGAUGGUCAACAAUUUUUUUUUUUUGGGGGGGGAAUUGAAGACUAAGCUAUUAAUAUUCUACUUUUUGAUUUUUGUACACAUUUUGUUACUGUACAUGUAAAUAAGUUUAACACCACAAAUUUGAAGAAUUACAACAUUUUAAAGGUUCUCUAUGGAAUUUUAGUUAGUUUGUAAGUUUCAAGCAACUUAGUAUUUAAUUCCAAGAAUUAUACAAAGGCACUUUUCAAGAUUAUGGCUUCCAACAUCAGUACAUGAUGGAAACAAUUCUCAAUGUUUACAUUUAUUGAGAUGGUAAGCACAUGCAACUGAUUUGAAACUAAUUUUAUAAAUUUGACAAAGCACUGCCAUUAAUUUUAAGCCAAUCUGCACACUUCCAAGCAUGUCAAAGGUAUUGCUUAAUAGCCCAAUCACCACAAUUAUCAUUGCCUUUAAAAAAAAAUUGC
Long non-coding RNA from Lytechinus variegatus (green sea urchin), 2040 nucleotides. RefSeq lists it as uncharacterized. The transcript is spliced from 5 exons. The record is from RefSeq and is a predicted model, not a curated record. NCBI's taxonomy places the organism in Eukaryota, Metazoa, Echinodermata, Echinoidea, Temnopleuroida, Toxopneustidae.